Molecule: ribosomal RNA, 376 nt
Filed under: uncultured bacterium
Lineage: Bacteria
Description: bacterial SSU rRNA
Rfam family: Bacterial small subunit ribosomal RNA
Source: RNAcentral
GACAGAGGGUGCGAACGUUGUUCGGAAUUACUGGGCGUAAAGCGCGUGUAGGCGGCCACGCAAGUCGGGUGUGAAAUCCCGGGGCUCAACCCCGGAAGUGCACUCGAAACUGCAUGGCUGGAGUCUCGGAGAGGAAGGCGGAAUUCUAGGUGUAGAGGUGAAAUUCGUAGAUAUCUAGAGGAACACCGGUGGCGAAGGCGGCCUUCUGGACGAGCACUGACGCUGAGACGCGAAAGCGUGGGGAGCAAACAGGAUUAGAUACCCUGGUAGUCCACGCUGUAAACGAUGAGUGCUAGAUGUCGCGGGCAUUGACCCCCGCGGUGUCGUAGCUAACGCAUUAAGCACUCCGCCUGGGGAGUACGGCCGCAAGGCUAAA